This 730-nucleotide ribosomal RNA is filed under the name uncultured bacterium. RNAcentral describes it as "bacterial SSU rRNA". It matches the Rfam family "Bacterial small subunit ribosomal RNA", at positions 54 to 772 of the family's 1533-position model. The record is from RNAcentral.
CAUGCAGUCGAACGGCAGCACGAAAGAGCUUGCUCUUUUGGUGGCGAGUGGCGGACGGGUGAGUAAUGUAUCGGAACGUGCCCAGUAGCGGGGGAUAACUACUCGAAAGAGUAGCUAAUACCGCAUACGCCCUACGGGGGAAAGGGGGGGAUUCUUCGGAACCUCUCACUAUUGGAGCGGCCGAUAUCGGAUUAGCUAGUUGGUGGGGUAAAGGCUCACCAAGGCAACGAUCCGUAGCUGGUUUGAGAGGACGACCAGCCACACUGGGACUGAGACACGGCCCAGACUCCUACGGGAGGCAGCAGUGGGGAAUUUUGGACAAUGGGGGAAACCCUGAUCCAGCCAUCCCGCGUGAGUGAAGAAGGCCUUCGGGUUGUAAAGCUCUUUCAUUCGGGAAGAAAACGCGCGCUCUAACAUAGCGUGUGGAUGACGGUACCGACAGAAGAAGCACCGGCUAACUACGUGCCAGCAGCCGCGGUAAUACGUAGGGUGCGAGCGUUAAUCGGAAUUACUGGGCGUAAAGCGUGCGCAGGCGGUUUGCCAAGACAGGCGUGAAAUCCCCGGGCUCAACCUGGGAACUGCGCUAGUGACUGGCAGGCUAGAGUACGGCAGAGGGGGGUGGAAUUCCUGGUGUAGCAGUGAAAUGCGUAGAGAUCAGGAGGAACACCGAUGGCGAAGGCAGCCCCCUGGGCCUGUACUGACGCUCAUGCACGAAAGCGUGGGGAGCAAA